CUCUCUCUCUGAGCAAAUCGCCGCCUUCAAUUGCCUCAAACCUCCGACUAACUUCAGCCGCCACCGUCGACGACGGCCGCCCAUGGAAUCCAUGCCGCCUUCGGAUGAGAAUGGUUGGGUGAAUCCUCGUCGGCCCUUAAAUCGCCCUCCCGUUGAUUUAAUCCUUAAGAAUCUCCGACCUCCACCUCGUAAUCCCUCUCCGAUCUCCACCUCGAAGUCGAAAGAAACUCCGAUCUCCACCUCCAAGACCGAAGAAACUCCGAUUUGUAUGUUUUCGUCGUAUCCCUCUUCGAUCUCCACUAAUCACCCGAGAUAUGGCCGUCUCCGCCGCCCCCCCACCGCGAUGACCGACGAGAGCGGAGGGCUCGCCGGCGGCGGACGGCUCGUCGAUGGCAGAGCUCUCUGUAAAUCUGCCGGUGGAUCUCUCAGUAAA
This 433-nucleotide long non-coding RNA is filed under the name Salvia miltiorrhiza (redroot sage). Its description in RNAcentral is "long non-coding RNA (SMIL_LNC013321)". The record is from RNAcentral. Lineage: Eukaryota; Viridiplantae; Streptophyta; Magnoliopsida; Lamiales; Lamiaceae.